UAACACUUAACACUUUUCCCCAGUGUUUGC
This 30-nucleotide non-coding RNA is filed under the name Rattus norvegicus (Norway rat). The record is from RNAcentral. Lineage: Eukaryota; Metazoa; Chordata; Mammalia; Rodentia; Muridae.